RNAcentral lists this transfer RNA (76 nucleotides) under Achromobacter anxifer. Its description in RNAcentral is "tRNA-Asn". Lineage: Bacteria; Pseudomonadati; Pseudomonadota; Betaproteobacteria; Burkholderiales; Alcaligenaceae. The record is from RNAcentral.
GCCGCCAUCGUCUAGAGGCCUAGGACACCCCCAAGUUCAGGGGGCAACGCUUGUUCGAAUCAAGCUGGCGGCCCCA